CUUUCCUAGAUCACAUUACUACAUACAAUCCAUAUACAUGGCUGGAUAUAUUACUCAACCAAUUUAGGCUCAGUACUUCGCUAUAUAAAAUGGCAGAGUCCCAGCUGGGAUUCAAACGCACAACUUUUUGAGUCACAAGCCUAGUUCCCCCACCUAAAAGGUACAUAAAUGGCUUGCAACUGAACAUGGCUGUGGUUUCUUGUCCCACCCCAAAAUGUACUUCCGUAUUCACACGAUCAGUCUGAGACAAGUAUCUGCUCUUCUCUCUUAUUGCUCACUGCUGUGUUCCUCCUCUUUGAAAUGCGGUCCCAGUUCUACAUCACUCUGCUGCUGGCCUUUGCCAUCCAGCUGGACUAUUUCAUACUGCACGCCGAUGCUGAAGACAUAAAGAAACCAGAGAUUUCUGUGCAGAACAGUGUCAGUGGUGGGGAGGUGGACUUGGCCUGUCAGACAAAGCUGGAACACCUCCCAUCUGGCACUAAUGUCACCUGUAACCUGUACAUUGGAGACUCAUCUGAGCCAUUCAGAAGCACAUGGACCACACAAAAAGACAAAGUCUGUAUUUUUUUAGUGAAGCUGGAUGCCCUGAAGCAAGGUUUGCAGUCUGUGGGGGCGACAGAACUGAGCUGCGAUUACUCUGUCCUCACAGACCCCCGCUCUCCUUCCCCACGCAGUGACAAAAUAAAAAUAGAAGGUAAACUGCCAAAGGCAGAGUUACAUUUGAGUCCUGCAGUAAUUUCCAUAAAGGACUCCAUGAAUCUGAGGUGCAGCAGACCGGACUCUUCCCUUGCAUCCCACUGCACUUUCAUCAUUAAUCAGAGAGGACCGAUCAGUGGCUCAGACUGUCAGCGCUCAGUCACUGGAGCUGAGCUUCUCAAUGGGAGUCACAAUGCAAGGAAUGAGAUUACCGUGAGAUGUUUCUGCAGGCUGGAGGGAGGACCAGCUCUUCACAGUGACCCUUUGAAAGUAACUGUGCUGGAUCUGAGGAAGCCCAAUAUCUCAGUCUCCACAGAACACACUGAGACACACAUUCGCUGUGAAGCACCACCUGACAUCACUGGAGCUAUUUUCUUCCUGUACUCCAACAGGAGUAGCACACAUUCUAAGAGCACCCAGGCUGGAGCAGAAGAGCGAGCUGUCAGUUUCACUGUCCCCCGCAGCUCUGACUCCACUCUGACAUACUGCUGUAGUUAUCAGUUUAAGGGCAUCAACUCUAAACUGAGUGACUGUGCUGAAGCUAAGAACAAGGACCAGAGUGGAAGAACAAAGGACCAAAGUAAACUGCCAAAGGCAGAGUUACAGUUGACUCCUGCAGUAAUUUCCAUAGAGGAAUCAGUGAAUCUGAGGUGCAGAAGACCGGACUCUUCCCUUGCAUCCCACUGCACUUUCACCAUUAAUCAUAGAGGACCGAUCAAUGGCUCAGACUGUGAGCGCAAAGUCACUGGAGCUGAGCUGCUCAGUGGGAGUCACAGUGCACGCAAUGAGAUCAUCAUGACAUGUUCCUACAAACUGGAGGAAGGAGUGAAACCUGCUCGUCAUAGUGACCCCUCGUCAGUGACUGUGCUGGAUCUGAGGAAGCCCAAUAUCUCAGUAUUCACAGAACACACUGAGACACACAUUUGCUGUGAAGCCCCACCUGACAUCACUGGAGCUAUUUUCGUCCUGUACUCCAACAGGAGUAGAACACAUUCUAAGGGCACCCAGGCUGGAACAGAAGAGCGAGCUGUCAGUUUCACUGUCCCCCGCAGCUCUGACUCCACUCUGACAUACUGCUGCCGUUAUCAGUUUAAGGGCAUCAACUCUAGACCGAGUGACUGUGUUGAAGCUAAGAACAAGGACCAGAGUGGAAGAACAAAGGACCAAACAUCCACCACCACAGACAACCCACAGACAGGUAAACUGCCAAAGGCAGAGUUACAUUUGAGUCCUGCAGUAAUUUCCAUAAAGGACUUCAUGAAUCUGAGGUGCAGCAGACCGGACUCUUCCCCUGCAUCCCACUGCACUUUCACCACUAAUCAGAGAAGAGAGAUCAGUGGCUCAGACUGUAAUCGCUCAGUCACUGGAGCUGAGCUGCUCAGUGGGAGUCACAGCGCACGCAAUGAGAUCAUCAUGAGAUGUUUCUACAGACUGGAGGAAGGAGUGAAACCUGAUCUUCAUAGUAACCCCUCCACAGUGACUGUGCUGGAUCUGAGGAAGCCCAAUAUCUCAGUCUCCACAGAACACACUGAGACACACAUUCGCUGUGAAGCCCCACCUGACAUCACUGGAGCUAUUUUCUUCCUGUACUUCCACAGGAGUAGCACACAUACUAAGGAAACCCAGGCUGUAACAGAAGAGCGAGCAGUCAGUUUCACUGUCCCCCGCAGCUCUGACUCCACUCUGACAUACUGCUGUAGUUAUCAGUUUAAUACCACCAACUCUAAACUGAGUGACUGUGCUGAAGCUAAGAACAAGGACCAGAGUGGAAGAACAAAGGACCAAAGUAAACUGCCAAAGGCAGAGUUACAUUUGAGUCCUGCAGUAAUUUCCAUAAAGGACUCCAUGAAUCUGAGGUGCAGAAGACCUGACUCUGCCCCUGCAUCCCACUGCACUUUCACCAUUAAUCAGAGAGGACCGAUCAGUGGCUCGGACUGUAAUCGCUCAGUCACUGGAGCUGAGCUGCUCAGUGGGAGUACCAGCGCACACAAUGAGAUCACCAUGAGAUGUUUCUACAGGCUGGGGGAAGGAGUGAAACCACUUGUCGAUAGUGACCCCUCUACAGUAAUUGUGCUGGAUCUGAAGAAGCCCAAUAUAUCAGUCUCCACAGAACACACUGAAACACACAUUCGCUGUGAAGCACCACCUGACAUCACUGGAGCAAAAUUCUUCCUGUACUACAACAGGAGUGGAACACAUACUAAGGAAACCCAGGCUGGGACAGAAGAGCGAGCAGUCAGUUUCACUCUCCCCCGCAGCUCUGACUCUACUCUGACAUACUGCUGUCAGUAUCAGUUUAAUACCACCAAAUCUAAUCUGAGUGACUGUGCUGAAGCUAAGAACAAGGACCAGAGUGGAAGAACAAAGGACCAAAGUACUGUACUCUUCUUUUCUCUCUGCAGUUUAUAAUCCACACAUGCACAGUUAAUUCUCAACUUAAAAGACAAGUGCUUGUUGUAUUGUUGUCCUUUGUCAUUAUAACUGGAGGUUAUGCAUUGACAUUGCCUACAGAGGAUUUAUUAAUUGAUUUAUUCAUCCAUUUAUUUACUCAUAUUUAUUCAGUCAUUAUUGAUAUUCAAAAGUCCUCCUCUGAUUUUCUAUUAUACGGCUGGAAACCCAUUGCACUUGCCAUGUCCCAUAAAUGAGAUGCCAGGUUAUAGUUUUAGAACUAGAUAGAAUGAGUGGAGUUAAGUCUGUUUACUAUAAGAAGCUGCCCUGCGGCUCUGACCCCUGUGGACAAAUUAUCCCCUAAGUGAAAAUAUAUUAUUUAAAAUAUAACCUAAUUUCAUUAAUGUUCAUGUUCUUUCUGCCAACUCGCUCUUUUUCUCCCCCUUCUUCCCCGGUCUCACCGUCCCAGCUGUCAUUGGUUUACCAUCAGGUAACCUUUUCCUACUGCCACCAACAAUAACACUCUCACUCACGCCACACAGAGACAACAUGAAACGAAAUAGAAAAGAAACAACUCUGAGUGGUCGACAGGCCACACCAUGCGAUGCCACUGGAGAGUUUUCCUCCCCCCACUUUUAUCCUCAUUCAGGUGCACCCCAUUCCCUCAUUAACCAACUCCUUCCACCUAAUCAACCUUGCAGCACGGUUCCUGGCUCACAGACUACUGACAUUGUCAUUGGCUUGCAAUGGACUAGGAGCUGAAGUCCAUGUAUAACAAUGAGGUUCCAUUUUGAAAAACUGGCAAAGAUAAUUUCACAGCAGAGUUGCAUGAUAUGUCCACUUUGUAUUCUGUCAAUAAUUUAUUUAUAUGUUUUACUUGUUGAACUGUGUUAGACCAGGCCGUGAGGAUUCUUUUGUCUCAAUGAAGCACUGUGGUUAAUUGCAUAAAAACUGAGUGACUGUGCUGAAGCUAAGAACAAGGACCAGAGUGGAAGAACAAAGUACUGUACUCUUCUGUACUCUAUGCGGUUUAUGAAUUCUCAACUUAUAAGACCAGUGUUUAUUGUAUUUUGCUCCUCGGUCAUUAUAAUUGGAUGUUAUGCAUCAACUACAUAAGAUUUAUUAAUUGUGCAAAAGUCCUUUGAUUUUCUGUUGUACAGGUGUCCACUGUAGGAGUCCUUCUAUCUCAAUGAAGCACUCAGGUCAAGUAGUUUAAAUAUAAAAUUCCAUACCAGAGUUUAUUUAUUAGAUUAAACCAUUAACACUGGAGGGGUAUCCAAGCAAAAUUUGCUCUCAGCAUUGAUCCACACUUGUAAUGUGAGUGUUAGUUCAUUUCUUGUCUGUAUGGGGUGAGGUCAAGCGAAACUGCUCGAAGUGGUGGUCAACAUGAGUUACCACAUCCGGCUCCAUUAGCGUUAGCUGCAUAGCUGGGAGCACAGUGCGAGCAAUGAGCUGGAGGCUGUACAGACACACAGGAUACACCCCUCAGGACAGAGGUGCACGAGGGGAGCCGAUAUCGCUUCACUGUGACCGGGAGGGAGCUGAUCCCGGGAACUGAUCUGCCUCCCUCUGAGUCUCAGUGUUAUUUCUACACAGAGGGGAUACAGCUGACUGAGACUCUUUCAGUCUGAGAACGGUUUGUCACUGGGUCUGAGCGCUCAGGGGAAGGGGUCAGUGCAGAAAUCAAGAUUAGAAUGAGCUGCCAGUAUAUUGAGAACGUACAAUGUACAAUGUCAAGUUCCUGUACAGUGAAGAUUCUAUGGUAACCGUGCUUCAUAUAUCAAUAUUACUCUGUUACUUCUUCAUAGGCUUUUCCUUCCUUUUUUCUUUCACUAAUGAAACACUUCUAAUGAAGACAGAAAGUACAAACAUUGUGUGUGGUCCAGAUUGUAAUUGUCAGUAUUGUUUGCUGAUCUAUUCCUUGCCUUUUCUUUCCGUUCUCGGAGUCAGCCAGGUUUCUGUGGCGACACAUCCUCAGUGUUCUGGUCCUCUUGGCUGCUAUUGGAAUACUCAUAGAAUACUUCAUCUCCCACACACCAACCACAGGCAGGAAGAGGAGAGGGAGUGAGAACACCGGACAGUUUGUGGAGACAUUGUGCUGAGACAUGAGAGAGAUGCGCCUGUUUACCUCUACAAAUAUAUAGUGCGCAUACACAAUAAAUAAAAAUAUACAUAAAACCACACAUAAAUACAGAACAUGUAUAUUUAUAAACAAACAUAACAUAGAUACAUAGUCACAAAGUGACAUACUGUUUUAACUUAAAAUAAAGAGUGCUCUUAAAUAUUUA
Anguilla rostrata (American eel) is the source of this 5372-nucleotide RNA transcript. RefSeq lists it as uncharacterized. Lineage: Eukaryota; Metazoa; Chordata; Actinopteri; Anguilliformes; Anguillidae. The transcript is spliced from 13 exons. The record is from RefSeq and is a predicted model, not a curated record.